GUGCUUGCUAUGGCAGCCACAUAUUCUGAAAUUUGAACGACACAGAGAAGAUUUGCGUGGCCCCUGUGCAAAGAUGACACACAAAUUCGUGAAGCGUUCCAUAUUUUU
Tachyglossus aculeatus (Australian echidna) is the source of this 108-nucleotide small nuclear RNA. The record is from RefSeq and is a predicted model, not a curated record. NCBI's taxonomy places the organism in Eukaryota, Metazoa, Chordata, Mammalia, Monotremata, Tachyglossidae.